CAUUAGAUGACUGAAAGCAAGUACUGGUCUCUUAAACCAUUUUAUAGUAAGGUUGCAUCUUACUUCUAAUGA
This 72-nucleotide transfer RNA is filed under the name Margattea multipunctata. Its description in RNAcentral is "tRNA-Lys". The record is from RNAcentral. Lineage: Eukaryota; Metazoa; Arthropoda; Insecta; Blattodea; Pseudophyllodromiidae.